UUCACGAUUGUAUAGGACUCGGACGACACUUAACGUCAGCGUUUGGGGGGCCUCUGGCGGGCGCGCACACCGGGCGACCGGUGGGCCCAGGCGGCGCGCCUGGGCGGCCCGCCGAGGCAACAGCUGUAGCGAUCACAGUGGGUGGGAGAUCCGCCCGCGAGGGGCGAGAAGCUCGGUAAUGAUCCCUCCGCAGGUUCACCUACGGAGA
This 208-nucleotide unclassified non-coding RNA is filed under the name uncultured fungus. Its description in RNAcentral is "sequence contains ITS1". Lineage: Eukaryota; Fungi. The record is from RNAcentral.